AUGGUGGACGUGUCGCGCGUGCAGAAGGAGCUGACGGAGUGCAACCGGGACUCGGACAUCUCCGGCGUCUCCAUCGCGCUCCACGACGGCGGCUCCAGCAUCACCCACCUCACCGGCACCAUCGCCGGGCCCCGCGACAGCCCCUACGAGGGCGGCACCUUCCGCAUCGACAUCCGCCUGCCAGGUGGCUACCCCUUUGAGCCUCCUAAGAUGCAGUUCAUCACCAAAGUAUGGCACCCGAAUAUUAGCAGCCAAAAUGGAGCAAUUUGCUUGGACAUACUGAAAGAUCAGUGGAGCCCAGCCCUUACCUUGAAGACAGCAUUGCUAUCCCUUCAAGCUCUUCUUUCUGCUCCUGCCCCUGAUGAUCCUCAGGAUGCUGUUGUUGCACAACAGUAUCUGCGUGACAAGGCCACAUUUGUCAGUACUGCUCGCUAUUGGACCGAGGCAUUUGCAAAGAGUGACUCCACCGGCAUGGAAGAAAAGGUGCAGAAGCUGGUCGAGAUGGGCUUCCCCGAGGAUAUGGUGAGAAGCGCCCUGAUGAGUGUGAACGGCGACGAGAACAUGGCUCUCGAGAAGCUCUGCUCUGGCUGA
RNAcentral lists this ribosomal RNA (591 nucleotides) under Triticum aestivum (bread wheat). RNAcentral's name for it is "partial small subunit ribosomal RNA". The record is from RNAcentral. Lineage: Eukaryota; Viridiplantae; Streptophyta; Magnoliopsida; Poales; Poaceae.